GAUGAGCACGCGUCCCAUUAGCUAGUUGGUAAGGUAACGGCUUACCAAGGCAACGAUGGGUAGGGGUCCUGAGAGGGAGAUCCCCCACACUGGUACUGAGACACGGACCAGACUCCUACGGGAGGCAGCAGUGAGGAAUAUUGGUCAAUGGGCGCAAGCCUGAACCAGCCAUGCCGCGUGCAGGAUGAAGCAUCUAUGGUGUGUAAACUGCCUUUGUACGAGAAGAAACACUCCUUCGUGAAGGAGCUUGACGGUAUCGUAAGAAUAAGGACCGGCUAACUCCGUGCCAGCAGCCGCGGUAAUACGGAGGGUCCAAGCGCUAUCCGGAAUCAUUGGGUUUAAAGGGUCCGUAGGCGGUUUUGUAAGUCAGUGGUGAAAGCCCAUCGCUCAACGGUGGAACGGCCAUUGAUACUGCAAGACUUGAAUUAUUAGGAAGUAACUAGAAUAUGUAGUGUAGCGGUGAAAUGCUUAGAUAUUACAUGGAAUACCAAUUGC
This 495-nucleotide ribosomal RNA is filed under the name uncultured Bacteroidota bacterium. RNAcentral describes it as "bacterial SSU rRNA". It matches the Rfam family "Bacterial small subunit ribosomal RNA", at positions 224 to 716 of the family's 1533-position model. The record is from RNAcentral. Lineage: Bacteria; Pseudomonadati; Bacteroidota.